RNAcentral lists this ribosomal RNA (443 nucleotides) under Lactiplantibacillus pentosus. RNAcentral describes it as "bacterial LSU rRNA". It matches the Rfam family "Bacterial large subunit ribosomal RNA", at positions 1 to 437 of the family's 2925-position model. Lineage: Bacteria; Bacillati; Bacillota; Bacilli; Lactobacillales; Lactobacillaceae. The record is from RNAcentral.
AGGUUAAGUUAACAAGGGCGCAUGGUGAAUGCCUUGGCACUAGGAGCCGAUGAAGGACGGGACUAACACCGAUAUGCUUCGGGGAGCUGUACGUAAGCUAUGAUCCGGAGAUUUCCGAAUGGGGCAACCCAGCAGUUUUAAUCAACUGUUACCACUAGAUGAAUUCAUAGUCUAGUUGGAGGUAAACGCUGUGAACUGAAACAUCUCAUUAGCAGCAGGAAUAUAAAGAAAUUUCGAUUCCCUAAGUAGCGGCGAGCGAACGGGGAACAGCCCAAACCAAAGUGCUUGCACUUUGGGGUUGUAGGACUGAACAUUUGAGUUACCAAAGAACUUGAUAGUCGAAGGAUUUGGGAAAAUCCGCCAUAGAUGGUGAUAGCCCAGUAGAUUAAAUCAAAUUCUCUCAGUUCAGGAUCCUGAGUACGGCGGAACACGUGAAAUUCCGU